Molecule: long non-coding RNA, 432 nt
Organism: Hyla sarda
Lineage: Eukaryota; Metazoa; Chordata; Amphibia; Anura; Hylidae
Exons: 3
Source: RefSeq, a predicted model, not a curated record
GGUCCAUUAUACUUACGCUAAGUACCGAGACUGCAUGUUGUAACACAGCAAAGAAAUAAACGCUGGACCCUUUUCAGACAAGCCUGUUUCCUAGGCCUCCUGCACACAGACGUAUUAUGGUGCCAUAAAAGUUCUACUGUGAUGCAGAAUCCUAAAAGGUUUCCUGGCAAAGUGUCAAGCAAGGGCUAAAGAACCGGUUCACACAAAAGCCCUACCCUUUUGUGACCCCUCCCACCAAACAGCAGAACUUAGGGGCAUCGCAAUGUCCCUCCCUGCAAUAUUUAAGGGGAGCUCAAGUUAAAAUUAAAUUCCGAUAUAUCGUGGAUAGAUGUUAAAGUCUGAUGGUAGACAGCCACAAAUUUCCAGAGUGAAACACUUGUGAUAAUUGAACCCUAUGGGACAAACUACGCUGCUCAAAAAAAUAAAGUGAAC